GUAUAUAUUAUCAAUAGGGAUAUAUAUAUAUUACAGAUGUAGCUUGUCUUCGAGUAUAUAUAUGUGCAUAUAAUUGGUGAUUAUGACGGUUUACCUUGUAAGUUAUUCGCAUUGUUAGUCAAGUGAGUGUUAAAAUAUCGGCUACUUUAUAAUAUGCAUGUAUAUAUAUAUUGGUAAGUAUAGGUGGAAAUUAUAUGUACAAAUAUUAUUUAUUUACAGGUGGAUAGCAGAGGUAUUUGAUUCGUGAGUAGCGUAUGAAUACUUCACAGUUCUACUGUACGCAUCCGUAUCCCUUCGACCAGAAAAAUUCUUUCUAUAUCUGUGAGAUCGUUAUAGACGGUCAGGCACAAGAGGCAUGAGGUGGCGGGUUGUAAGUCCGCUAAGUCUAUCUCACAUGUGUAACACCGUGACACUUGUGUCCUCGCAGGCACUCCGCAUAUGAAAUGUGUUGGUGGGGCAUCACACAGUCCUUGGUCGUCCGGAUCCAAGUUGUCAAAACAGUUCUGGCACAAAUAAUCCCUGUCUAAUUGGUAGACGGGGCGUAUUAGCUGAACGCAGAGGCAGGACUGAACCUCCUCUUCCGCAUCCAGAUCGGCUGCGGGCGCGAGACCGUCCGGGUUGUUGGGGUUGACAAGUUCACCACCAGUUCUGUACACACAUACGAAAACGAUUCUGCUUUUUCGAUGCUGCGUUACUUACUUGGAUCAUUCCCACAACAUCAUCCGAUUCUUUGAUACGCCUUGAAUACUUACUACGGCUGCCUUCAAUCGUCUUAUAUCUGUGGUCAUAAAGCUGGCUGUUGUACAUGGUGUUUCGCAAACCGAGAUCCAUAACCUAUUUUGCACGUAAACCUUCUCGUAUGAUGAUUACUUGUUCACAAGGUAACUUCCACUUUCACUCUUUUAAUUAUUUAUUGAAUCAACACUUUUUAUAUUCAAACAAUAAUUGGAGUACACAUAAUAAUUUUUCUUUUUUUCUUUUAGGUUUUCGCUAUCUGUAUUAUUCGACAAACAGUGUCACACCUCCUUUAGAUUUAUCCACAAUAUAGUUAUAACAUUUAGUAA
This is a long non-coding RNA of Bombus huntii, 1064 nucleotides long. RefSeq lists it as uncharacterized. The record is from RefSeq and is a predicted model, not a curated record. The transcript is spliced from 3 exons. NCBI's taxonomy places the organism in Eukaryota, Metazoa, Arthropoda, Insecta, Hymenoptera, Apidae.